AUCAUUAAUGAGCUGAAAAACCAAAACAAAUAAUUAAAUAAGUGCGUGCGUCUAAAAGUUUCGGAACAAAUUGUGGAUUAAAGCCUUUCGAAAGUGAUAAAUAACGUAAAAAGGAAGAUGCCGAAAAGGUGUGUAUCCAGAUGUCCAGAACAAGGAUCCUUGUAUAAGUUUCCAUCGGAGGGAGAAAUGCCAAGCCAUCGACUGACUAACUGAUUGGAUAUGUAAAGUGAUCAACGUGAAAUUUGACGGAACAUGGAAUUCGUGGAUUUAUUAAGAAUUACAUUAUUACUUCCUUAUAUAUUUUGUAAAUUGUGAAAGUAUUUUCGUAUCUUUAGGAAUAAUCGAUCAAAAUGGUUGUAUUUUCUGUAAUUUUUUCUCUGGUUAGUUAAUAAUAAAAACCAUUGAAAUUCUUAAAUAA
This 418-nucleotide long non-coding RNA is filed under the name Rhagoletis pomonella (apple maggot). RNAcentral's name for it is "uncharacterized LOC118749992". The record is from RNAcentral. Lineage: Eukaryota; Metazoa; Arthropoda; Insecta; Diptera; Tephritidae.